CGUCAGGGCCCAUCCACCUGAGACGUUAAAUCACACCGUCUGACAGCAGACUAUCAUCCACACAACUUGCCAAGAUGUAUCAUAAAACAACAACAGUUGCUCUUGCUGUUCUACUCAUUGCCUUAGUCUCACUCUCAGACGCUUCAAAUUACUGGAGAAUCAAAAACAAAGGCAGGAAUGCUCGUUAUACCGCCAGAUCGCCACGGCUGUACGACGCACUGAAGAACGCUCAGGUCAAGAGGUACGCCGGUAUUGAGGAUGUCGAAGCCGCAGAGGAACCGGUAGACACUUGGCUUCGAGACUGGGUCAUCUCAAACAGGAAUUUCAUCAGAGGCACUCUUUUCGACGACACCUACACAAAUGAAGUCUGAAGCCUUUCACCUUUCCUUGUUUUUUCUUCUUCAGCUCGCAAAUCAACCAGACUCCUGCCUGCUUUCUACCUAACUUCACCGAGUUCCAUUCUCCUCCCAAAAUGAAGAGCGACCUCAAUCACCACAGACAUGUCAUCACUUCUUCCCUAAGCAGAAAAUAAUAACAUAUUAUUGUUACGUCACACAAGAACGGUCGCUAGUGGCUUUUUAUCGAGCAAAAUACUUUUACAUCAAAUGAUGCAAGAUUCAUCGCCCGUGUAUUAUAUGUAAAUAUAUUAAGUUCUUCGAUGCACAACUGGAUGGUACUAGAGUUAUGAAAAAUGUAAGCUUUCAAUUAAUUCCAAAACGAUUGCCAGUGUUAAUUAAUAUUUUAAAGAACAAGCAACGUAUAGCUGCUCAACGGAGUUUCUUUCUCAUCAACGCGCACCUUUUGGGUUUGAUUUGGUUCGCCGUAACUUUAUACACAUAAACAAUCAGUUGUUUAAAAAUAAUACGGCUGCUUUGCUCUAUUCAGAGCCAUUUAUAUCUUGGCUCUGUUCUCCAUUUCAAGACAGACAUAAUAUCAUAAGUGUCUCGUCAAAUCAUUAAUCGAAACUUUACUGAACUCAGCUUGAUUGCACGAAUUGUCAAAGUGAAGGUCUCUCGUCCUUUUAUCUCCAGUGAUUUACCCAAUUGAUCGGAUAAUUAGGUUCUAAUGAGUUACUCACAAAACCAUAAAUGAGGAAACGUAAUGAAUGGUCAUGUGCGACAUUAGAUCCCAUGUACUAGAAACUUAAUGAAACAUUAGUUCAGUGAUCCAUUUAAACCUGUGCGAACGUCAUGGCCUCAAGCUGGUUACUGGCGUAAACGAUUGACUGGGAGAAGUUUGGGAGAAUUUUAAUGAAAGUAUGGCUGUUCUAAAGCAUACCAGUACCCCUGACUCUACCACCAUCGUUUGAUAUCUCACCACUCCCAUCUACUCCAGGGAAAUCAAAUUGUCUAUGUUCGUUUAUAUACAUGUAGGUUUGAAAUGUUCAUGGCUCACGUGACUCAUGCCAUGGUAAAAGGUUUAUCAGAGAAAAGCUUAUCAGCAGAAAGGUAUACAUCUUAUUUAAUUAAAUAUUUGAACAUGGAGAUUAUAACUUAAGUAUUGAAACAAAGAAAAAGAAGAUGACUGAACGUGAACAUCACUUUAUUUAUCGGAGAAAUUACAAUUUAGUAAUCAUUGACAAAAGGAUGGAGAAUAGAAAAUGGUUGCAACUAUAAUAUCGACUGAUGAAGUAAGACUGCACCCAUUGGAUUAAAUUAGUGGCUCCGCAGUCAUUGUCCCACACUUACCAAAUUCGCAAUUUUAACCUAAAAAAAACGCUAUACUUAACCUGAACAAUAAACAUACAAACCUGAAACCCAAUCUCAACCCGAUUCUUAACCCUAAAGCGUCGAUGAAAUGAAAAUCAGAGCAAAUGGUGGAUCUUCCUCUCUUCAUACCCCCCCCCCCCCCAAUCAUUCGCUGUGUCACAUUUCCGACUACGCCUCCCGUACAUUGUGGACCAAACACCAUAUAACGUCCUGAUCCUUGCUAAUUGAUUUUGUCAGUCAAGUGCUUGGUCUUCACCCUAGGGCGAGUCUUCGAGAAGGGGAAUUUAAUUGUCUUGAUGGUCAUUCAAAGGGCGAAAACAGAAAUUAUGCGGUUGUGCACACAUGCAUCAUCUUUACAUCUUUGACUGAGUUUCUUUCUAACUGAGUGGUUGACCCUUUUCUAUUUCAUUCGUACUGACUAAAAAGUUUCGCGUAGUAUUUUGGAGUUUAGUUGUCACCCGCACUGUUGCAACUGGCCAUAAAGAUAAAAAUUGAUCUACUCGCAUUAAAACUAAAAAUGUAGUAAUCAUUUCUAUUCGAAAGACCCGAUAUGAUCGGGAAACCUUCAUGAAGAUAUAAGUCAAAUGUGAAUGCAACCUUUAUGCAACUAAACUUUUUAAGCGUUCAGACAUGUCCGAUGAAACCUUAUUUUGGCUGGUAAAGUGACAGAAAAACCGAAAGAAAAAAUAUCAUUUCAAGUCAAUAUUAUAGUUUUGUAAACAAUAGGCCCUAUAUCACAAAAAAAGAGAUAUUCCCUGAAAACACUUUGUGGAAAUUAACGUGGAUACAUUCCUUGUAAUAUAGUUGUUAUGCCAUUUGAACUCAAGAAAAGUGUGAUGAAAACUAUGCCAGUGUGUGCUAAUUAUUCUUUUGAUGGUAAUCAUUAUGACGGUAAUAAUACAGAUUCUGUAAAGCAUGUGUCCAAAGAGGAAAAAUAUCAUGUUUGUUGUUAAGUUUGUUGAUUUAAGUUGUCUUAAUUUGUGAUUUAUCAGCACUCAAAUUAUCAUGAAGGAAACGACGCUCUGUUUCAUGACUGUAAUAACCCGUUUACCUUGUACACUGUAGUUAAUAAUCUAUUGUACUCACUACUGUAGUAUCAAAUUUUGUUGAAACGGUAUAAACGAUGCAGUUGCCGAAAUAGAAAACACUAGAUUUAUCAAAAGUAUCAAUAUGAUAUGCUAUCUGGCGCCAUCAUUGUUCAUGUUUUGUUUCAUUCGUAGAGUGCAGUGUGUAAAUGUAUAAACUUGAAAAAACAUGUAGAUUACUACUGCAAUGUUACUUAUAUUGUAUCAUAGUAUUGUAAAUAGAAAUAUUUUCCUUUGCUUCCUGUUACAAAUGAAAAAGAGUAUUUAUUUAAAAUUUUGAACGUAGUUCAUGAAAAGUGUGACCUCAUUUAAUACACAGAAAUAAUCAUGUAAGUCUGUAGUACGAGACUAUUCCCUAAUUCAUAAAAAAA
RNAcentral lists this long non-coding RNA (3165 nucleotides) under Strongylocentrotus purpuratus (purple sea urchin). Its description in RNAcentral is "uncharacterized LOC105445038". Lineage: Eukaryota; Metazoa; Echinodermata; Echinoidea; Camarodonta; Strongylocentrotidae. The record is from RNAcentral.